CCCAGCCCCAGUCACCCACCCCCACCAAUGGACUGGUGCUCUCCCACCUGCAAGACCCCUAUAUAAGCUUCCAGCUCAGCCCAUGCAGUUGCUGGUCUCCAUUCUGUCAGUCAGCCCAGCAGGCUGCAGACUGCCGCCCCAAUAAAGCUUGCCUGAACGUCCAUGUGUGCCCCCCCUUCUUCAGUGACCCUUACAUUCUGGUGCCAAAACCCAGGAGGCAGCGCUAUUGGGACCUGUGGGCUCACCCCACUGGGGUCCAGAACUGCACUCCCGAUGGCCCCUUCCCGGGCCUGCAGUUGCCGAACUGGGGCACACACCUCUGGGGCUUUCAGUCCUUUGCCAUUGCUGAUGCUGCAUCCAACACCAGCCUGAUUCUCUCAACAGGACCUACCCGGCUUAAACUGAC
This 406-nucleotide long non-coding RNA is filed under the name Heterocephalus glaber (naked mole-rat). Its description in RNAcentral is "lncRNA (ENSHGLG00000042862.1)". Lineage: Eukaryota; Metazoa; Chordata; Mammalia; Rodentia; Bathyergidae. The record is from RNAcentral.